GGGGAAUAUUGCGCAAUGGGGGAAACCCUGACGCAGCGACGCCGCGUGAGCGAUGAAGGCCUUAGGGUUGUAAAGCUCUGUUUUAGGGGACGAAUGUCCAUUUCAGUAAUAUGGGAGUGGAAUGACGGUACCCUAAGAGGAAGCCCCGGCUAACUACGUGCCAGCAGCCGCGGUAAGACGUAGGGGGCGAGCGUUGUCCGGAAUUACUGGGCGUAAAGAGCACGUAGGCGGGAACUUAAGUCAGGUGUGAAAGACCGGGGCUCAACUCCGGGGUUGCACUUGAAACUGGGUUUCUUGAGGGCAGGAGAGGAAAGCAGAAUUCCUGGUGUAGCGGUGAAAUGCGUAGAAAUCAGGAGGAAUACCAGUGGCGAAGGCGGCUUUCUGGACUGACCCUGACGCUGAGGUGCGAAAGCGUGGGUAGCAAAC
This 426-nucleotide ribosomal RNA is filed under the name uncultured bacterium. RNAcentral's name for it is "bacterial SSU rRNA". It matches the Rfam family "Bacterial small subunit ribosomal RNA", at positions 356 to 773 of the family's 1533-position model. The record is from RNAcentral.